RNAcentral lists this ribosomal RNA (497 nucleotides) under uncultured bacterium. Its description in RNAcentral is "partial 16S ribosomal RNA". It matches the Rfam family "Bacterial small subunit ribosomal RNA", at positions 28 to 507 of the family's 1533-position model. The record is from RNAcentral.
GAUGAACGCUGGCGGCGUGCCUAAUACAUGCAAGUCGAGCGAACAGAUGAGGAGCUUGCUCCUCUGACGUUAGCGGCGGUCGGGUGAGUAACACGUGGAUAACCUACCUAUAAGACUUUGAUAACUUCGUGAAACCGGAGCUAAUACCGGUUAAUAUAUUGAACCCCAUGUCUCAAUAGUGCAAGACGGUUUUGCUGUCACUUAUAGAUGGAUCCGCGCCGCAUUAGCUAGUUGGUAAGGUAACGGCUUACCAAGGCAACGAUGCGUAGCCGACCUGAGAGGGUGUUCCGCUAUACUGGUACUGAGACGCGGUGCAGACUCCCAAGGGAGGCAGGAAUACAGAAACUUGCGCCAUAGGCGAGAGCGUGACCGAGCAACACCGCCUGGGUGCUGAAGGUCUUACGGUCGUAAGAGGCUGUUAAUGGGGAAGUUCAAAUGUGUAAGUAACUAUGCACAACUUUACGGUACCUAAUCAGUAGCCAACGGCUAACGACGUG